Molecule: non-coding RNA, 71 nt
Organism: Phrynosoma platyrhinos (Desert horned lizard)
Lineage: Eukaryota; Metazoa; Chordata; Lepidosauria; Squamata; Phrynosomatidae
Source: the annotation of a GenBank genome assembly
UGCUGUGUGGUGUAGUGGUUUGAGUGUUCUCUACAACUCUGGAGAUCAGGGUUCAAUUCCCUGCUUGGCCA